Molecule: small nucleolar RNA, 140 nt
Filed under: Phascolarctos cinereus (koala)
Lineage: Eukaryota; Metazoa; Chordata; Mammalia; Diprotodontia; Phascolarctidae
Source: RNAcentral
UUGUCCAUCCUAAUUCCUGCUGGUCGCAACAGUACCAGCCAGGUUUCGCUGGUGGACCAAAGUAUAGCAGAAAUCCUCUUUGGGAGCUGUGGGGCAUCUGUGCCGUGGGCUCACAGCCAGCCUGGGGUCUCUAAACACAG